RNAcentral lists this ribosomal RNA (506 nucleotides) under uncultured bacterium. Its description in RNAcentral is "partial 16S ribosomal RNA". It matches the Rfam family "Bacterial small subunit ribosomal RNA", at positions 30 to 523 of the family's 1533-position model. The record is from RNAcentral.
AUUGAACGCUGGCGGCAGGCCUAACACAUGCAAGUCGAACGGUAACAGGAAACAGCUUGCUGUUUCGCUGACGAGUGGCGGACGGGUGAGUAAUGUCUGGGAAACUGCCUGAUGGUGGGGGAUAACUACUGGAAACGGUAGCUAAUACUGCAUAACGUCGCAAGACCAAAGAGGGGGACCUUCGGGCCUCUUGCCAUCGGAUGUGCCCAGGUGGGAUUAGCUAGUAGGUGGGGUAACGGCUCACCUAGGCGACGAUCCCUAGCUGGUCUGAGAGGAUGAACAGCCACACUGGAACUGAGACACGGUCCAGACGCCUACGGGAGGCAGCAGUGGGGAAGAUUGCACAAUGGGCGCAAGCCUGAUGCAGCCAUGCCGCGUGUAUGAAGAAGGCCUUCGGGUUGUAAAGUACUUUCAGCGGGGAGGAAGGGAGUAAAGUUAAUACCUUUGCUCAUUGACGUUACCCGCAGAAGAAGCACCGGCUAACUCCGUGCCAGCCGCCGCCGUAA